RNAcentral lists this non-coding RNA (256 nucleotides) under Peptoclostridium acidaminophilum. Its description in RNAcentral is "T-box sequence". It matches the Rfam family "T-box leader". From Rfam's summary of the family: Uncharged tRNA acts as the effector for transcription antitermination of genes in the T-box leader family. T-boxes are found upstream of many aminoacyl-tRNA synthetase genes and some amino acid biosynthetic genes usually in Gram-positive bacteria. Lineage: Bacteria; Bacillati; Bacillota; Clostridia; Peptostreptococcales; Peptoclostridiaceae. The record is from RNAcentral.
AUAAAUUCUAAGAGCAGGAAGAGUAGUUGGAAUGUUCUAUAAACAGCGAGUCGGGGUUGGUGGAAGCCGAUUUUAGAGUAUCUGAUGAAUGGGUCUGUGAGAAGCAGGGUGAAAUCUUUUGAGAGUAUCCUAAGCCGGGAGUCCCCCGUUACAGGGACAGGAUAUCGGGAGCAAUCUCCGUAUCUAUAAGAGAUGGAUGGCAUUAAGCCUUCUAACUUGGGUGGCACCGCGAAGAGCAUGGUUCUUCGUCCCAUAU